UACGGAGGGUGCGAGCGUUGUCCGGAAUUAUUGGGCGUAAAGAGCUCGUAGGUGGUUUGUUACGUCUGAUGUGAAAUCCCGGGGCUCAACCCCGGAACUGCAUUGGAUACUGCCUUGCUAGAGUACUGGAGAGGGAACUGGAAUUUACGGUGUAGCAGUGAAAUGCGUAGAGAUCGUAAGGAAGGCCAGUGGCGAAGGCGAGUUCCUGGACAGUUACUGACGCUGAGGCACGAAGGCCAGGGGAGCAAACGGG
This 253-nucleotide ribosomal RNA is filed under the name uncultured bacterium. RNAcentral's name for it is "partial 16S ribosomal RNA". It matches the Rfam family "Bacterial small subunit ribosomal RNA", at positions 524 to 776 of the family's 1533-position model. The record is from RNAcentral.